Non-coding RNA from Aegilops tauschii subsp. strangulata, 466 nucleotides. The record is from RefSeq and is a predicted model, not a curated record. NCBI's taxonomy places the organism in Eukaryota, Viridiplantae, Streptophyta, Magnoliopsida, Poales, Poaceae.
CAAUGUUGCAUUAUCUUUCAUAGUGAUCCAUUCGAAGCUUUAGGUAAUUGUUGAACACAGACCACAAUUUUAGGAUGACAAGGAAGGGCAUGAACAGGACAACUGCUGACUGGCUAGUUAGACUAGAGCCGUAUGUUAUAGAAUGGGAGACAGCAAACACAAAUCUAUGGCACGAGAAUCACAAUUUCGAUCUCGAUGAAUUCAAUCUCUAUUUGCGGCGCUACAUGACCGGAACACGGUUACGCAUUGUUGAGUACUCCCACCCAGAGGAGAUACCGGAUCCUACUCCGUCGGAUAUGUACCCGAGCUAUGAUACUUCGGGCUCUAGGCAGUACGCGGCUACCUUGACACGCGAACUCUACGACGACGUGACCACCUUUGGACGAUCACUAUCGUCUGGACCUCUUCUUCAUCAUCGUCCAGUGGUACAACCCUUCUUGGAAAGAAUUCAGAAUAAGAUACGGAC